GGGUUGUGAGGUUAAGCGACUAAGCGUACACGGUGGAUGCCCUGGCAGUCAGAGGCGAUGAAGGGCGUGCUAAUCUGCGAUAAGCGCCGGUAAGGUGAUAUGAACCGUUAUAACCGGCGAUACCCGAAUGGGGAAACCCAGUGUGACUCGUCACACUAUCAUUAACUGAAUCCAUAGGUUAAUGAGGCGAACCGGGGGAACUGAAACAUCUAAGUACCCCGAGGAAAAGAAAUCAACCGAGAUUCCCCCAGUAGCGGCGAGCGAACGGGGAGGAGCCCAGAGCCUGAAUCAGCAUGUGUGUUAGUGGAAGCGUCUGGAAAGGCGCGCGAUACAGGGUGACAGCCCCGUACACAAAAGCGCAUGUGCUGUGAGCUCGAUGAGUAGGGCGGGACACGUGGUAUCCUGUCUGAAUAUGGGGGGACCAUCCUCCAAGGCUAAAUACUCCUGACUGACCGAUAGUGAACCAGUACCGUGAGGGAAAGGCGAAAAGAACCCCGGCGAGGGGAGUGAAAAAGAACCUGAAACCGUGUACGUACAAGCAGUGGGAGCCCCACCACUAAGCCAGUGGUGAACUCCACAUACGCAUCCUUUGCUGAGGAUACGGUUAACGGAGCGAAAGCGACGUUCAACCUCAAAAGAAGCAGAGGGGGCUUAGUGGUGGGGUGACUGCGUACCUUUUGUAUAAUGGGUCAGCGACUUAUAUUCUGUAGCAAGGUUAACCGUAUAGGGGAGCCG
RNAcentral lists this ribosomal RNA (735 nucleotides) under Salmonella enterica subsp. enterica serovar Corvallis. RNAcentral's name for it is "partial 23S ribosomal RNA". It matches the Rfam family "Bacterial large subunit ribosomal RNA", at positions 1 to 668 of the family's 2925-position model. Lineage: Bacteria; Pseudomonadati; Pseudomonadota; Gammaproteobacteria; Enterobacterales; Enterobacteriaceae. The record is from RNAcentral.